AUGAACGCUGGCGGCGUGCUUAACACAUGCAAGUCGAACGAAGCAUUUAGGACAGAUUACUUCGGUUUGAAGUUCUUUAUGACUGAGUGGCGGACGGGUGAGUAACGCGUGGGUAACCUGCCUUGUACUGGGGGAUAGCAGCUGGAAACGGCUGGUAAUACCGCAUAAGCGCACAAUGUUGCAUGACAUGGUGUGAAAAACUCCGGUGGUAUAAGAUGGAUCCGCGUCUGAUUAGCUAGUUGGUGAGAUAACAGCCCACCAAGGCGACGAUCAGUAGCCGACCUGGGAGGGUGACCGGCCACAUUGGGACUGAGACACGGCCCAGACUCCUACGGGAGGGAGCAGUGGGGAAUAUUGCAGAAUGGAGGAAACUCUGAUGAAGCGACGCCGCGUGAGUGAAGAAGUAAUUCGUUAUGUAAAGCUCUAUCAGAAGAGAAGAUAGUGACGGUACCUGACAAAGAAGCUCCGGCUAAAUACGUG
This 480-nucleotide ribosomal RNA is filed under the name uncultured bacterium. RNAcentral describes it as "partial 16S ribosomal RNA". It matches the Rfam family "Bacterial small subunit ribosomal RNA", at positions 29 to 507 of the family's 1533-position model. The record is from RNAcentral.